GCGCACAGCAUGAACACUAAUGGCCGGCUCGAGCAUCACAGCGGCCACACCAGCGGCGCGUCGGCUGGUGUUUUUUGUAAGCAG
RNAcentral lists this small RNA (84 nucleotides) under Rhizobium sp. TAL182. RNAcentral describes it as "miscellaneous other RNA". The record is from RNAcentral. Lineage: Bacteria; Pseudomonadati; Pseudomonadota; Alphaproteobacteria; Hyphomicrobiales; Rhizobiaceae.